Molecule: unclassified non-coding RNA, 381 nt
Filed under: plant metagenome
Description: partial contains 5.8S ribosomal RNA, internal transcribed spacer 2, and large subunit ribosomal RNA
Rfam family: 5.8S ribosomal RNA (bases 1-105)
Source: RNAcentral
GAAAUGCGAUACGCAAUGCGAAUUGCAGAAUUCCGCGAAUCAUCAGAUUCUUGAACGCAACUGGCGCUGGAGGGAUAUCCUUCCAGCAUGUCUGUUUCAGUGUCUGAAAACAUCCUAAAUCAUUCUAAUGUGUUUGACAAGGAAUAAAUUAUAUAUAUCAAUUGAUAUUAUAUUUAUGAUCCAAGUCUUACAUGAAAGAUGUAUGUGUGGGUCUUUGGAUCCAUCGAAUUGGUCAUCGAUUUCUUCGGUGAUGUCGAUUGGAUAUUCACCAAUUACUCGUAUACACAUAGAAUAAACAUAUAUAUAUUUAUUUAUAGAUAUAUAUAACAUACUUUAUCAUCUGCAUCUGAAAUCAGGCAAGAAAACCCGCUGAACUUAAGC